GCGGCUCUAGCCUGUCUGGCAACUGCGGCUCACAUGACCGCAGUCGGUGCUUCCUCACUGCGCUGAGGAGCCGUGCAGGGGCCGACUCCAAGCUCCAGCUCUACGGGAAUAACAGCCCAGGGGAGCGGGGGGACAGCUGACAUGAGCUGCUGUUAGUCGGUGAAGCUGUGAGCCGUUCUCUCAGAUCCUAGAUGUGUCCAUGCUGCAGGCCGGGGAUCCUGGAUGGGAAAGAAGCAGACGAAUGUUUAUUCCAGCCCCUGCAGUGAAAACAUAGCACAGGCAAAACACAGAGACUCUCUGCUGGGCAACAUGAGUACAGACAGACCCAAGCGGAACGUCAUCAGAAAAAGAUAUGACAUCAGUGACGGGAUGCCGUGGUGUGAAGAACGUCUGGUCCGCAAAGUUCUCUUCCUUUCUCUCAGGGAAUACAGAGACAAACACCGUGCUGCACACACUCACUCACACAUACACAAGUGUCCACAUGCUCUGCAAAAGACACUGACAAAACCUAAUGCACACAAGAAAACACAAGCAAGAAAAAACAUGCACACACAACAGCAAAGACUCACAUGCAAACAGCUAAAUACAUACACACAGGCGAACACACGUACUGCACAAAACCUGCACGUUUCAAAGCGCCUGCACGCUGAACACACAAACAAACGGCAGACAGCUCACUUGAAUUGGGUCUCGCACUCUCCAGAAAGUAAAUGUACUCGGAUACUACGGAACACACAAACUCAGAUGAAAUUGUGUAAAAGGAAAGUUGCACACACUCGGCAGCGUACUUGCACGGACCAGAAGACGUCUUCUACCAGGACACUACGCUCAAAUAAAACACAAAACACGCUGUCGCUGCAGAACUCAAAAUACCCCAAACCUGCAAAACGCACAGACACUGCUCAACACACACACUCACUGAACAACAUGUGCAGAUCUAAAAACACAAAGAUGCCACUGAGAGCUGCUCUCUCAGCCAGGACUCUGAGGUCGCACACCCCAACAAGUGUCUGUGGCUCUGUAGUUAACACUGCGAUCAAGCGUCGGGCAGCUGGUCCAAACUGGAGCUGGUCCUUACAGACGCAACAACGCCAUCCUACCAGCAGUCGUGGUGAUGAAGAUGAUUGUGCCAAAAACAGACCUCGGCUGCACGCACAGAGAAAGUUUGCUCAGUCCCCACCCAGCUCUCCAGGACCAUUGGUGCUGAUGAGAGGUUCAGCAGCAUUACCGCGCAACAUGGCAUUCUUAACAAGUAAGCGAGACAGGGAGCCAGGUGACAGUCAGCGUUUGCCUUCCUGUCACAAGGCUCCAGCUGAGGAGAAGAAAAUCAGGAUGUUAUGUAGAAAAACAGUGCACAGUGACUCCAGGUCACUGAAGAGGAGGCCUGCCAGCCCUGCUGUGCUCAGAUCCACCUGCCCUUUAACAGCUCGAGCACAGAAAAGGAUGGACAGCGAUGAAAGAGAAGGGAAGCAACAGAAGAAGGGAGUGGAGGGGGACAGGCGAGAGGGCGCUCAGAUACACCUCCUGAGACCUCGCCAGCACUUACUUCAUGUCAAGAGGGCUAACAAGGUCUGGUCAUGCUUUACUACACGUUUGCUUGUGUGAAAAGUGUGCUGUUGUAUCAUCGGUAUGGAAACCAAACACUAAUAAACAUACAGG
Long non-coding RNA from Astatotilapia calliptera (eastern happy), 1659 nucleotides. The record is from Ensembl. Lineage: Eukaryota; Metazoa; Chordata; Actinopteri; Cichliformes; Cichlidae.